CCUACGGGAGGCUGCAGUAGGGAAUCUUUCACAAUGGGCGAAAGCCUGAUGGAGCAACGCCGCGUGCAGGAUGAAGGCCUUCGGGUUGUAAACUGCUUUUAUAAGCGAGAAAUAUGAUGGUAACUUAUGAAUAAGGAUCGGCUAACUACGUGCCAGCAGCCGCGGUCAUACGUCGGAUCAGCGCAUGAUCCGGAGUGACUGGGUGUAAAGAGUUGCGUAGGUGGGAUAAUAAGUAGCUAGUGAAAUCUGGUGGCUCAACCAUUCAGACUAUUAGCUAAACUGUUAAGCUCGAGACCGUUAGAGGUAACUGGAAUGUCUAGUGUAGGAGUGAAAUGCGUAGAUAUUAGAAGGAACACCAAUAGCGUAGGCAGGUUGCUGGGACGGUUCUGACACUAAGGCACGAAAGCGUAGGGAGCAAACGGGAUUAGAUACCCGGGUAGUC
RNAcentral lists this ribosomal RNA (442 nucleotides) under uncultured bacterium. RNAcentral describes it as "partial 16S ribosomal RNA". It matches the Rfam family "Bacterial small subunit ribosomal RNA", at positions 338 to 795 of the family's 1533-position model. The record is from RNAcentral.